This 1161-nucleotide ribosomal RNA is filed under the name uncultured bacterium. RNAcentral's name for it is "bacterial SSU rRNA". It matches the Rfam family "Bacterial small subunit ribosomal RNA", at positions 62 to 1217 of the family's 1533-position model. The record is from RNAcentral.
UCGAGCGGGGGAAGGUAGCUUGCUACUGGACCUAGCGGCGGACGGGUGAGUAAUGCUUAGGAAUCUGCCUAUUAGUGGGGGACAACAUCUCGAAAGGGAUGCUAAUACCGCAUACGUCCUACGGGAGAAAGCAGGGGAUCUUCGGACCUUGCGCUAAUAGAUGAGCCUAAGUCGGAUUAGCUAGUUGGUGGGGUAAAGGCCUACCAAGGCGACGAUCUGUAGCGGGUCUGAGAGGAUGAUCCGCCACACUGGGACUGAGACACGGCCCAGACUCCUACGGGAGGCAGCAGUGGGGAAUAUUGGACAAUGGGCGCAAGCCUGAUCCAGCCAUGCCGCGUGUGUGAAGAAGGCCUUAUGGUUGUAAAGCACUUUAAGCGAGGAGGAGGCUACUUUAGAUAAUACCUAGAGAUAGUGGACGUUACUCGCAGAAUAAGCACCGGCUAACUCUGUGCCAGCAGCCGCGGUAAUACAGAGGGUGCAAGCGUUAAUCGGAUUUACUGGGCGUAAAGCGCGCGUAGGCGGCUAAUUAAGUCAAAUGUGAAAUCCCCGAGCUUAACUUGGGAAUUGCAUUCGAUACUGGUUAGCUAGAGUGUGGGAGAGGAUGGUAGAAUUCCAGGUGUAGCGGUGAAAUGCGUAGAGAUCUGGAGGAAUACCGAUGGCGAAGGCAGCCAUCUGGCCUAACACUGACGCUGAGGUGCGAAAGCAUGGGGAGCAAACAGGAUUAGAUACCCUGGUAGUCCAUGCCGUAAACGAUGUCUACUAGCCGUUGGGGCCUUUGAGGCUUUAGUGGCGCAGCUAACGCGAUAAGUAGACCGCCUGGGGAGUACGGUCGCAAGACUAAAACUCAAAUGAAUUGACGGGGGCCCGCACAAGCGGUGGAGCAUGUGGUUUAAUUCGAUGCAACGCGAAGAACCUUACCUGGCCUUGACAUAGUAAGAACUUUCCAGAGAUGGAUUGGUGCCUUCGGGAACUUACAUACAGGUGCUGCAUGGCUGUCGUCAGCUCGUGUCGUGAGAUGUUGGGUUAAGUCCCGCAACGAGCGCAACCCUUUUCCUUAUUUGCCAGCGAGUAAUGUCGGGAACUUUAAGGAUACUGCCAGUGACAAACUGGAGGAAGGCGGGGACGACGUCAAGUCAUCAUGGCCCUUACGGCCAGGGCUAC